Molecule: ribosomal RNA, 859 nt
Filed under: uncultured archaeon
Lineage: Archaea
Description: SSU rRNA
Rfam family: Archaeal small subunit ribosomal RNA
Source: RNAcentral
CCCCAGCGCCACAAGUGGGAGCCACGAUUAUUGGGCCUAAAGCGUCCGUAGCCGGCCUGUCAAAUCUUUUGUGAAAUCGAUGAGCCUAACUCAUCGACGAGCAGGAGACACUAACAGGCUUGGGACUGGGAAGGGUUAGAGGUAUUCCUUGGGGAGCGGUAAAAUGCGAUAAUCCUCGGAAGACCACCUGUGGUGAAGACGUCUAGCUGGAACAGAUCCGACGGUGAGGGACGAAAGCCAGGGGAGCAAAACGGAUUAGAUACCCGAGUAGUCCUGGCCGUAAACUCUGUGAGCUAGGUGUUGCGCAUUCUUAGAGAUUGCGCAGUGUCGAAAUGAAGGUGUUAAGCUCACCGCCUGGGAAGUAUGGUCGCAAGGCUGAAACUUAAAGGAAUUGGCGGGGGAGCACCACAAGGGGUGCGGCGUGCGGUUUAAUCCAACUCAACGCGCAGAAUCUUACCAGGAACGACGGCAGGAUGAAAGUCAGUCUAAAGGGCUUACUUGACGAGCCGAGAGGUAGUGCAUGGCCGUCGCCAGCUCGUGCCGUGAGGUGUCCUCUUAAGUGAGGUAACGAGCGAGACCUGUACCUACAGUUGCAACCGAGCUCAGUGAUCGGGCACACUGUAGGGACUGCCUUGGAAACAAGGAGGAAGGUGCAGGCUACGGUAGGUCUGUAUGCUCCGAAUUCCCUGGGCUACACGCGCGCAACAAUGGUCAGGACAAUGGGCUGCAACUCCGAAAGGAGAAGCUAAACCUCAAAACCUGAUCUUAGUCCAGAUUGAGGGUUGGAACUCACCCUCAUGACGUCGGAAUCCCUAGUAAUCGGGGGUCAUCAUCUCCCAGUGAAUAUGUCCCUGCUCCU